This 468-nucleotide ribosomal RNA is filed under the name uncultured bacterium. Its description in RNAcentral is "partial 16S ribosomal RNA". It matches the Rfam family "Bacterial small subunit ribosomal RNA", at positions 28 to 507 of the family's 1533-position model. The record is from RNAcentral.
GACGAACGCUGGCGGCGUGCUUAACACAUGCAAGUCGAACGGAAAGGCCCUGCUUUUGUGGGGUGCUCGAGUGGCGAACGGGUGAGUAACACGGGAGUAACCUGCCCUUGACUUUGGGAUAACUUCAGGAAACUGGGGCUAAUACCGGAUAGGAGCUCCUGCUGCAUGGUGGGGGUUGGAAAGUUUCGGCGGUUGGGGAUGGACUCGCGGCUUAUCAGCUUGUUGGUGGGGUAGUGGCUUACCAAGGCUUUGACGGGUAGCCGGCCUGAGAGGGUGACCGGACACAUUGGGACUGAGAUACGGCCCAGACUCCUACGGGAGGCAGCAGUGGGGAAUAUUGCACAAUGGGCGGAAGACUGAUGCAGCAACGCCGCGUGCGGGAUGACGGCCUUCGGGUUGUAAACCGCUUUCGCCUGUGACGAAGCGUGAGUGACGGUAAUGGGUAAAGAAGCACCGGCUAACUACGUG